Long non-coding RNA from Equus caballus (horse), 5745 nucleotides. The record is from Ensembl. Lineage: Eukaryota; Metazoa; Chordata; Mammalia; Perissodactyla; Equidae.
GGCAGGGGGGCCCUGCCCUCCAGGCCACUUCUGUCCAGAGGGCACGGGGGUGCCCCUGCCCUGCCCUGUGGGCACCUUCUCAGAUCGGUGAGUGCCACUGCCCCAGGUCCAAGGGGCAGUCUUCCUGGUCUUCCUUCCCACAGUGACCAUCUAUCUGUCUCACCAAUGAUGUCCCUCCGCCAUGGAGGAACAUGGACCUCAGAGAGCAGGACUUCUGCCUGGCCUCCAAGGGCAGGAACCCCCUGAGCAGCAGCGGAGGGACGGGGAGCACGAUGGUCAGAAUCAGGGCAGACGGUGCUGGCUGCUGGCCGCUUGAGAACGUGUCAGGCCUGAGGAGCAAACCAGGAAGAAGCCUGUGUGUCUGCCUGCACCUCAUUUGAGAGUAGAGCCCCAUCUCCCACCUUUAGGAACUGCCCAACCCCCAAGCAAGGGCACCGCAGAAUGAGGCAGCUGAGGAACCCGUGGCUGAAAGGCUGCUGGACAUUCUGACUGCAGCUGCCAGACCAGGGGUCUGCGGCCCUGGACAGCCUGACUCUGAACUGGGGAUUAAGAUGACAAGGAAACUAACCAGGAGCCUAUCUUAGGAGAGAGAGACCCAGCACACCCAGACGCCACCUUGGACCGCGCAUGGGAGCGCGAGGAAGCCCAGGGAGCCUCAACAAGGAGAAAUGAGAAGGCAGCCCCAGAAGGGCGGGUCUCUCGCCGGGACAUAGCCUCUCUACCCUAAGGGCCUCCUUUCCCACUGACCCGCACUCGCUCUCUGUGUCCCAGGAUGCUUCUCUCCACGGCCUCAGAGUGCCUACCCUGCCCCUCUGGCCAUUUCUGUGGUGUGUCUGGCCUUGCUGCCCCCUCUGCACCCUGCUCCCCUGGCUACUUCUGUCUGGUGGCAGUCUCUUCCCCAACCCCAACAGGCCACUCAGAGAAGGGGGGCCCCUGUCCCCGAGGUCACUUAUGCCCCAGGGGGACCAGCCUCUCCCAGCCUUGCCCUGCUGGCUCCUACAGCAACCUGACUGGCCAAGCCUCCUGCUUCCCCUGCCCCGCCGGCUACUACUGCCCUGAGAGUGUCAGCACCUACCACGAGCACCCCUGCCCUGCCGGCUUCUUUUGCCCCAGAGGCACCAAGUACGCCACCCAGUUCCCCUGCCCUCGGGGCUACUACAACCCAGACCCACUGACGCAGAGCCUGGACAGCUGUCUGCCCUGCCCGCCAGGCCACUACUGCGGCCAGGAGAACCUGACCCAGGCCUCUGGGCCCUGUGAUGCAGGCUGGUUCUGCGUGUCAACAGCAUGGACCGCUCGUCCCUUCGACCUGGACAACUACACCAGCACCAAUUGCCUGUGCCCGGCCGCGGCCACAGCGGGGAAGUGCCUGGCAGGCUCCUUCUGCCCCGAGGGCAGCCCGGAGCCCAGACCCUGCCUGCCGGGCUCUUUCUGCGCCACCUCCGGCCUCUCCACACCCAGUGGGCCCUGCCAAGCUGGCUACUUCUGUGCAGAAGGAGCAGUGUCCCCAGCUCCACGGGACGGACUGACAGGGGCCCCCUGCCCCCCAGGAACCUUCUGUCCUGCAGCAUCACCCAGGCCUGUGCGGUGUCCUGCCGGCACCUUCUCCAGCUUCCCAGAGCAGACGGUGCCCUCUGCGUGCCAGGCCUGCCCGCGCGGCUUCUACUGCAAGGAGCCUGGUCUCCAGGCCCCCUGCUGGCAGUGCCCAGCAGGCUAUUACUGCCCCCUGGGCACAGCCGUGGCCACACACCCCAGCUGCCCAGUGGGCACUUACGGCCCUCGGAAGGGGCUGAGGAGCAUCACUGAGUGCCUGCUGUGCCCCGCUGGGAAGUUCUGUGCGCUGGCAGGGCUCGCAGCGCCCACAGGAGACUGUGCUGCAGGGCACUGGUGCAAGGGAGGAGCCACCAGCAAGGACCCCGCUGAUGGGGCACGAGGCCUCCUCUGCCCUGCUGGGCACUACUGCCUCGAGGGAGCUUCAGUCCCAGCCCGAUGCCCACCUGGUACCUGGUCUGAGGAAGGGAACCAAACCCCAGAAGGAUGUCAAGAUUGCUAUGGAGGACAACUCUGCUCUGGCAGCCACCCAUCAAUCUGGCCAGCACCCUGCCACCCAGGGUUUCUACUGCCCUGAAGGGACAGGGCUCAAUUGGCAGCCCUGCCCCCUGGGCACCUAAGGCCCAGUGCCCGGACUGGGCAGCCUGCCGGGAUGUGGAGUCUGUGACGGAGGCAGGUUCUGCCCCAGGGCCAGUGCCACGGAGGCGGGCAGACAGUGCUGGGAGGGCUUCUUCUGCUCCAGAGGGUCCACCCGGCCCAACCCGGAGGCUGGCACUGAAGAGGGGACUGGCCCAUGUCCUCAAGGACACUACUGCCCCAGGGGCUCAGCUGUGCCCCAGCCUUGCCCACCUGGCACCUUCGGCUCACGCGCCAAGCUCAGUUCAGAGGAUUCCUGCUCCCCAUGCCCGCCGGGCCACUACUGCAGCUCUGCUGGCCUUGCCAGCCCUCCUGGACUCUGCAGCACAGGUUUCUUCUGCCUCAGUGGGGCGCUCGUCCCCAACGGCUCCCUGGGAGACCAGGCCGGUGGCCCCUGCCCCACAGGACACUUCUGCCCCCCAGGCACUGCUGUCCCCAGGCCCUGCCUGGCAGGCACCCACAACGGCCUAGCUGCCCGAGGCCACUGUGAGCCUUGUCCAGAGGGGUGAGUGCAGAGAGGCCUUCCACGGCCCCACGUGUCCAGCUGGGCACACGGUUUGCAUUCCUGCACAGGAGGUGGCUGGAGCAGAUCUCGCUGAGAUUCCUUUCUGCCUGAGUAUUCUGUGACUUCAAGAAGACACAGAAGAACUUCCAUGACUUCUAGCUAGCUUGCUUUACGUCUCUUGAUCUCUUCGUUGUGCAUCACUGAGUCAUUCCUAAUUUCAGACCUGGGUCUCUUUUGCUUCAGUUUAAGCCAGUCAGCCUCCCCUUGAGUGCCUUGAGCUGGAGCAGAGCUGUGCCCAGCCAAGCGAUUGUUCCUGCGGUCUGUGGGGAGGCCAGCCCAGGAAGCCAUCUCCACACACCCCAGGCCAUUGGGUCACACAGCCCUCUGAGCUCCCCCCUCCUCGUCCUGUCUGUAGUUUCUUCUGCCCAGCAAAUACCUCCUCUGUGGUGGGGAACGAGUGUCCAGCCGGCCAUUACUGCCCUGCCUCCACCUCCUCUGCUUCUCAGUUCCCGUGCCCCAGGGGCACCUACAAGCCACAGGGAGGCGGUGUCCAGCAGUCAGACUGCAUCGUCUGCGAGCCAGGCUCCCACUGUCUCUUGCCUGGGCUGGUGGCCGUGUCUGGGCCCUGCCAUGCCGGGUUCCACUGCACUCAGGGAGCAUCUGUCCCAAAUCCCACUGACGGGAUCACAGGAGACCUCUGUCCUCUGGGCCACUUCUGUCCCCAGGGUAGCCCCAGGCCCACUCCCUGCCCCCCAGGGUCUCUCCUGCCCGUCCCCGGGGCCACAUCACUGGAGGACGGCCAGCCAUGCCCGGCUGGCUGGUUCUGCUCCCAGGCUGGCCUGAGCUCCCCGGAGGCCCCGUGUGAAGAAGGCUGGUUCUGCCCCAGGGCUUCUGUCUCCGGGCACGGUCCAGGCUCCCGUGCCUAACAGCAGUGAGACGAGCCUCGUGACCUGGGGCCUGCUGAGGAGGGGCCGCAAGCCUGUGCGUUAGCAAGGCUCCCCGUGCACCCAAAGCUCAGACAGGGAGAGGAGAGAGGCUCAGGAUGAGAGGAAGGGAAGAAACGAGAAGCAUUGAAACAAAAGCAAUCAUCAAAGAUGGUGAAUCCUGUGCUCUGGGGGAAGGAAUACAGGUUCCCAAGGGCCAGGACCCUCUUGUGAGGGAGCAGGAAGGGUCUUCACCCCUCAUGCGAGACCCUGGGCCUGGCAGAAAAGGGAGAGGUCAGACCCAAGGACAAGGUCCUAGCAGAGCCGGCACAAUUCCAUCUUCUGCGGCCUCAGUCCUCAACAGGUUCUGUCCCUUCGGGAUCUAGGGACCAGGAGGCAGGACUGUUUGGCCAGUGGACUGUCCUGCUGGCUACUACUGUCCUCUGGGUACCCAGACACCCACCCAGCACCCGUGCCCCAGGGGCACCUUCCGAGAGAGGCCCGGGGCACGCAGCACCAAGGAUUGCAGGCCCUGUCCCGCAGGGCAAUUCUGCUCAGAUUCAGGGGCUGGGAAACGCUUCCCGGACGGGCCAUGCUCAGCAGGUUAUUACUGCACCCCUGGCCAGACCUCAGCCACCCCUAUAUCUUUCCGGUGCCCCCGUGGCUUCUACUGUUCCGAGGGAUCUCCCCAGCCAAGGGCCUGUGAGAACGGAACAUUUCAGCCCCAGGAAGCAAAGGGCUCCUGUGAGCCCUGCCCCACAGGAUUCUACUGUGACGCCUCUGGCAAAGGCCCGAUCCUGUGCCUCCGGGGCUACUUCUGUCCCCCCGGCUCCCACUCAGCCACUGCCCACCCAUGCCCUUGGGGGACAUUCGGGCCCAGGCAAGGGGCCACUGCAGAGAGGGACUGUGAGCUGUGCCCAGCAGGGAUGUUCUGCUCAUCAGAAGGGCUGUCCCAGCCAUCAGGGCUCUGCCACUCUGCCCACUACUGCACAGGGGGAGCAGUGUCUCCCACCCCCAUCAAACACAAGGUACAGAUCACUGGGCCGGGCACCCUAGACAGGCGUCUGAGUCUGCCCUGCAGCACCCAUGUGUGUACUGGCUCAGGACAAAGCUGCCCAGGGGUUCCUGCUGGGCUCCCGCUGGGGGUGAAGCUCCCUGAGGGCAGGGGUCUCCUCACCUUCGUGUUCCCAAGGCCUGGCACAGGGCCUGGUGAUAUCUUAUUUCAAUGAUUCUGAGAUGUGCAUCUUUUUCACAUUUAACAUCACUAAAGUCAGCAGCAUCUUAUAAUCCAUGGCAUCUGGCAAUCAAUGGCAGUGAUUUUUUUCUUUUAAGUCAUUCGGCUUCCAGGAGAUGACAUCUUGGCUUAGAUGACAUGCAUGUGGCAAUAAUAGCAGAAAACACAUACAGAGCCUUGACUACUGCUGGGCAGCAUUCUGUGCUGCAUACACAUUGAUUCAGCAGUCCCCACACAGCCCUGUGGGAGGCCCCGGUGCCACCCCAUUUUAGACGUGAAGAAACUGAGGAGCACGUGGGGUAACGGACUUUCUCAAGGCCACACAGCGAGAAAGCGACCUUCAGCACGUUGGAUGAUUAUACCGUAGAGCAGUGCAGGGGAGAGUCGGCUGGGUGGAUAGACACACGGACCAGUGCUGGACAGACAGAUGGACAGAUGGGCACUGGUGUGUUAAUUGACUGGCUCUGAUUCUCAUUGUUACUGAGUUGCUGUGCGAACUUGAACAUACAUGCCCCUUGCCCGCUCUGGGCCCUGGCUUCCCUUUUAGAACAGACACUGCCCCUUCUUCUGGAAGUCACCGGUUCUACAUCAAUGCCACAGAGAAGAGACUAGGCCUGGAGACGAGGAAGGGAGGGGCGGGAGGCCACUGAGUCAGCGCUCUGAUUUAGAAAGUAGGGACCCCUGCCAAGCCUUGUCCUAGCUCAUCCUCCUCAGGUCUCAGCUGGCACAGCUAAAAGCACAUGUGAAUGGGGUGGUUCCGCAUGGGACGUCCUUGUGUGCAGUGCAGCCUCAUUCAGGACAGUCCUGGUCCCUAGCUUCUCCCCAGCAGCGGCGUUGGUAGCCUGGGACCACAGCUCUGAUUUGAAGUCCUUUUUUCCUUCUUUCUGGCUACACAG